GGGGAAUAUUGGACAAUGGGCGAAAGCCUGAUCCAGCCAUGCCGCGUGAGUGAUGAAGGCCUUAGGGUUGUAAAGCUCUUUUGUCAGGGAAGAUAAUGACGGUACCUGAAGAAUAAGCACCGGCUAACUUCGUGCCAGCAGCCGCGGUAAUACGAAGGGUGCUAGCGUUGUUCGGAAUCACUGGGCGUAAAGCGCGCGUAGGCGGCUAUUCAAGUCAGGGGUGAAAUCCUGGAGCUUAACUCCAGAAUUGCCUUUGAAACUGUAUAGCUAGAGUGUCGGAGGGGAUAGCGGAAUUCCUAAUGUAGAGGUGAAAUUCGUAGAUAUUAGGAGGAACACCGGUGGCGAAGGCGGCUAUCUGGACGACAACUGACGCUGAGGCGCGAAAGCGUGGGGAUCAAAC
RNAcentral lists this ribosomal RNA (400 nucleotides) under uncultured bacterium. RNAcentral's name for it is "bacterial SSU rRNA". It matches the Rfam family "Bacterial small subunit ribosomal RNA", at positions 356 to 773 of the family's 1533-position model. The record is from RNAcentral.